This 765-nucleotide ribosomal RNA is filed under the name Favia cf. maritima DH-2011. Its description in RNAcentral is "eukaryotic LSU rRNA". It matches the Rfam family "Eukaryotic large subunit ribosomal RNA", at positions 42 to 634 of the family's 3401-position model. The record is from RNAcentral. Lineage: Eukaryota; Metazoa; Cnidaria; Anthozoa; Scleractinia; Faviidae.
AUUAAUAAGCGGAGGAAAAGAAACUAACAAGGAUUCCCUCAGUAACGGCGAGUGAAGCGGGAAGAGCUCAAAUUUGAAAUCUCCGGUGCUUGCAUCGGCGAGUUGUAGUUGCGAGAAGCACUUUCUAGGUGGAUCGGCGGUGCCUAAGUUGCUUGGAACAGCACGUCGCAGAGGGUGACAACCCCGUCUGUGGCGCCGCCGGCCGCUGACGAUGUGCUUUCGAAGAGUCGGGUUGUUUGGGAAUGCAGCCCAAAAUGGGUGGUAAACUCCAUCUAAAGCUAAAUACUGGCGUGAGACCGAUAGCGAACAAGUACCGUGAGGGAAAGAUGAAAAGAACUUUGAAAAGAGAGUUAAAAAGUACGUGAAACCGUCGGAAGGGAAACGAAUGGACUCAGCAAUGCGCCCUCUGAGAUUCAGCCGCGUGGGUGGCGUCGGCGCGGGGUUUGCGGAUCUGAAUGGACCGCGGCCCGGCGCUCGCUGCUCCCCGCCGUCGCACUUCUCUGGGGCGCGCGUCAACGUGGGUUGGGACUGGGUCUGAAAGGUGCCGGGAAGGUAGGUGUGGGCCUUCGGGUCCGUUCUGUUACAGCCCGGUUCUCUCAUGGCUCGGGCCCGACCGAGGAGCAGACAGGGCAUGCCUCCUGUGGCUAGGGUCCCGUCCUUCCGGCCGGCUGUCCAGUGUGGUGGACUGCUUGCAGUGCUCUGCGACGGCUGCCGGUCGUUGGGGUGGUGAUCUCGUACCAUGCCCUUGGGAUGUUGGCGGUCAUA